UACGGGGGGGGCAAGCGUUGUUCGGAAUUACUGGGCGUAAAGGGCGCGUAGGCGGCCUGCUAAGUCGGACGUGGAAUCCCUCGGCUCAACCGGGGAACUGCGUCCGAUACUGGUGGGCUCGAAUCCGGGAGAGGGAUGUGGAAUUCCAGGUGUAGCGGUGAAAUGCGUAGAUAUCUGGAGGAACACCGGUGGCGAAGGCGGCAUCCUGGACCGGUAUUGACGCUGAGGAACGAAAGCGUGGGGAGCGAACAGG
RNAcentral lists this ribosomal RNA (253 nucleotides) under uncultured bacterium. RNAcentral describes it as "partial 16S ribosomal RNA". It matches the Rfam family "Bacterial small subunit ribosomal RNA", at positions 524 to 776 of the family's 1533-position model. The record is from RNAcentral.